UGGGGAAUAUUGCACAAUGGGCGAAAGCCUGAUGCAGCAACGCCGCGUGAGUGAUGAAGGUCUUCGGAUUGUAAAGCUCUGUCUUUUGGGACGAUAAUGACGGUACCAAAGGAGGAAGCCACGGCUAACUACGUGCCAGCAGCCGCGGUAAUACGUAGGUGGCGAGCGUUGUCCGGAUUUACUGGGCGUAAAGGGUGCGUAGGCGGAUGUUUAAGUGAGAUGUGAAAUACCCGGGCUUAACUUGGGUGCUGCAUUUCAAACUGGAUAUCUAGAGUGCAGGAGAGGAGAAUGGAAUUCCUAGUGUAGCGGUGAAAUGCGUAGAGAUUAGGAAGAACACCAGUGGCGAAGGCGAUUCUCUGGACUGUAACUGACGCUGAGGCACGAAGCNU
RNAcentral lists this ribosomal RNA (389 nucleotides) under uncultured bacterium. RNAcentral's name for it is "partial 16S ribosomal RNA". It matches the Rfam family "Bacterial small subunit ribosomal RNA", at positions 355 to 762 of the family's 1533-position model. The record is from RNAcentral.